UUUAUUGGAGAGUUUGAUCUUGGCUCAGGACGAACGCUGGCGGCGUGCCUAAUACAUGCAAGUCGAGC
RNAcentral lists this ribosomal RNA (68 nucleotides) under Oceanobacillus chungangensis. RNAcentral describes it as "partial 16S ribosomal RNA". It matches the Rfam family "Bacterial small subunit ribosomal RNA", at positions 1 to 67 of the family's 1533-position model. Lineage: Bacteria; Bacillati; Bacillota; Bacilli; Caryophanales; Bacillaceae. The record is from RNAcentral.